AUACGGAGGAUGCAAGCGUUAUCCGGAUUUAUUGGGUUUAAAGGGUGCGUAGGCGGAUGAUUAAGCGUGAGGUGAAAUGCAACUGCUCAACAGUGGAACUGCCUCGCGAACUGGUUGUCUUGAAUGCUCCUGCCGUGGGAGGAAUGUGUGGUGUAGCGGUGAAAUGCAUAGAGAUCACACAGAACACCGAUUGCGAAGGCAUCUCACGAAGGGGUGAUUGACGCUGAGGCACGAAAGCGUGGGGAUCAAACAGGAUUAGAUACCCUGGUAGUCCACGCAGUAAACGAUGAUGGCUAACCGCUGGGCUUAUCAGUUCAGUGGCCAAGCGAAAGCGAUAAGCCAUCCACCUGGGGAGUACGACCGCAAGGUUGAAACUCAAAGGAAUUGGCGGGG
This 393-nucleotide ribosomal RNA is filed under the name uncultured bacterium. RNAcentral describes it as "partial 16S ribosomal RNA". It matches the Rfam family "Bacterial small subunit ribosomal RNA", at positions 523 to 918 of the family's 1533-position model. The record is from RNAcentral.